GAUGAACGCUGGCGGCGUGCCUAAUACAUGCAAGUCGAGCGAACAGACGAGGAGCUUGCUCCUCUGACGUUAGCGGCGGACGGGUGAGUAACACGUGGAUAACCUACCUAUAAGACUGGGAUAACUUCGGGAAACCGGAGCUAAUACCGGAUAAUAUAUUGAACCGCGUGGUUCAAUGGUGAAAGACGGUUUUGCUGUCACUUAUAGAUGGAUCCGCGCCGCAUUAGCUAGUUGGUAAGGUAACGGCUUACCAAGGCAACGAUGCGUAGCCGACCUGAGAGGGUGAUCGGCCACACUGGAACUGAGACACGGUCCAGACUCCUACGGGAGGCAGCAGUAGGGAAUCUUCCGCAAUGGGCGAAAGCCUGACGGAGCAACGCCGCGUGAGUGAUGAAGGUCUUCGGAUCGUAAAACUCUGUUAUUAGGGAAGAACAAAUGUGUAAGUAACUAUGCACGUCUUGACGGUACCUAAUCAGAAAGCCACGGCUAACUACGUG
This 497-nucleotide ribosomal RNA is filed under the name uncultured bacterium. RNAcentral's name for it is "partial 16S ribosomal RNA". It matches the Rfam family "Bacterial small subunit ribosomal RNA", at positions 28 to 507 of the family's 1533-position model. The record is from RNAcentral.